RNAcentral lists this ribosomal RNA (468 nucleotides) under uncultured bacterium. Its description in RNAcentral is "partial 16S ribosomal RNA". It matches the Rfam family "Bacterial small subunit ribosomal RNA", at positions 28 to 507 of the family's 1533-position model. The record is from RNAcentral.
GACGAACGCUGGCGGCGUGCUUAACACAUGCAAGUCGAACGGAAAGGCCCUGCUUUUGUGGGGUGCUCGAGUGGCGAACGGGUGAGUAACACGUGAGUUACCUGCCCUUGACUUUGGGAUAACUUCAGGAAACUGGGGCUAAUACCGGAUAGGAGCUCCUGCUGCAUGGUGGGGGUUGGAAAGUUUCGGCGGUUGGGGAUGGACUCGCGGCUUAUCAGCUUGUUGGUGGGGUAGUGGCUUACCAAGGCUUUGACGGGUAGCCGGCCUGAGAGGGUUACCGGCCACAUUGGGACUGAGAUACGGCCCAGACUCCUACGGGAGGCAGCAGUGGGGAAUAUUGCACAAUGGGCGGAAGCCUGAUGCAGCAACGCCGCGUGCGGGAUGACGGCCUUCGGGUUGUAAACCGCUUUCGCCCGUGACGAAGCGUGAGUGACGGUAAUGGGUAAAGAAGCACCGGCUAACUACGUG